CCUACGGGAGAUAGCAGUGAGGAAUAUUGGUCAAUGGGCGCGAGCCUGAACCAGCCAAGUAGCGUGAAGGAUGACUGCCCUACGGGUUGUAAACUUCUUUUAUAAAGGAAUAAAGUGAGGCACGUGUGCCUUUUUGUAUGUACUUUAUGAAUAAGCAUCGGCUAACUCCGUGCCAGCAGCCGCGGUAAUACGGAGGAUGCGAGCGUUAUCCGGAUUUAUUGGGUUUAAAGGGUGCGUAGGUUGUUUUUUAAGUCAGCGGUGAAAGUUUGUGGCUCAACCAUAAAAUUGCCGUUGAAACUGGAAGACUGGAGUGUGUGUGAGGUAGGCGGAAUGCGUGGUGUAGCGGUGAAAUGCAUAGAUAUCACGCAGAACUCCGAUUGCGAAGGCAGCUUACUAAGCCAUAACUGACACUGAAGCACGAAAGCGUGGGGAUCAAACAGGAUUAGAUACCCCAGUAGUC
Molecule: ribosomal RNA, 460 nt
Filed under: uncultured bacterium
Lineage: Bacteria
Description: partial 16S ribosomal RNA
Rfam family: Bacterial small subunit ribosomal RNA
Source: RNAcentral